UACAGAGGUCUCAAGCGUUGUUCGGAUUCAUUGGGCGUAAAGGGUGCGUAGGCGGCGCGGUAAGUCGGGUGUGAAAUCUCGGAGCUUAACUCCGAAACUGCAUUCGAUACUGCCGUGCUUGAGGACUGGAGAGGAGACUGGAAUUUACGGUGUAGCGGUGAAAUGCGCAGAUAUCAGGAGGAACACCGGUGGCGAAGGCGGGUCUCUGGGCCGGAACUGACGCUGAGGAGCGAAAGCGUGGGGAGCGAACAGG
This 253-nucleotide ribosomal RNA is filed under the name uncultured bacterium. RNAcentral describes it as "partial 16S ribosomal RNA". It matches the Rfam family "Bacterial small subunit ribosomal RNA", at positions 524 to 776 of the family's 1533-position model. The record is from RNAcentral.